AUCCACUGGGAGAGAAUUCUUUGCAGGUUUCCGUCUUUGUUAUUCAGGAACAGCUGUAAAAUAUUUACGGAAGGAACGGAAAAGAAGGAAAGCAAUGAGAAAGUGAGCUGGAAACGCGUGUUCUGAUUCACGGGCUGGGAGAAGAUCAUUACUGGAAGACAAGACUACUGCGUAACACAGGAAGGAAGGGCAAAGGCCACGAGAAAGACAGUGGAACGGGAAGAUCGGAAACAAUCGCGGAGAGGCACAACACGGAGGGCUACGAAUGGACAGCAGGAAAGCAGAGUCUGAGCUCCUGCAGGCCGGCUGAGAGGGCAGAGCGCAGCCUUGCUGAGGAGGCGGCGCCCCAGGCGUGGGGGGAGGGGGCGGGCGGGAUCAGCCCUGGGAGGCGGGAGGCGUCCGGGACCAGUGGCGCACCUCGCCUGCACCUCGGGGUUUUCGGCUAGGACAGCCCGAUGGUGUGGAGAAAAACAGUGCUGGAGAUUCACGGAGAGUCGUGACAAACCGAAUUGCUCACUCCCCAUUCUAUUAUUUCCUUUAUUACAGGAGGUGGGAAGAGCAGCAACAAAAGGGCAAAAAUGGGAAAUUUCAAGGCACAGUGGGGCUGGGAGUGAGUGAAUGUGGUCAUUAAUGCAAGGCUCGUGUUGGCGAGGGAUGGCAGAGAAGACUGGAAAGCUAGGGCAGAGUCAGCCUGCGCCAGUGCUCAGAGGUUAAGGCGGCGAGAGCUGGGCUCCAGCAAGGAGAACGGAAGGGUUUUCAGCAGCAAAGUAAAAUCGUGAGCCUAGUCCUAGUGUUUUAGGGGGGAUCAGUUUACCAACUUGGUAAGAGUCGCUGGGAAGGGAGAUAAGUGGCAAGAAAGCAAGCUAGCCCAUGUGAUGGUGCACACCUGAAAUCCCAGCAUUUGGGAGGCUGAGGCAGGAGAAUCGCUGUGAGUUCGCGGUCAUCCUAGGCUACAUAGUGAGACUCUGUCUCAAAAAAAGCAACAGCCGGGGAUUUAGCUCAGUGGUGCCGCCAUCUGCCUUGAAAGUGCAAGGUCCUGAGUUUGAUACCCGUACCAAAAAAACCCCCCAAAACAAAAAAAAGUAACUCAAAAAAAUAACAACAGGGCUGGGAUGUAGCUCAGAGGUGUUGCACCUGCCUGGCAAGCGUAAAGUCCUGAGUUCAAUUCCUGUACCGAAAAAACAAAAAACAACAAAGUUAGAAAACUAAGCUGCAUAGCACACAGCAAAGGCCUUAAAACAAAACAAAACAAACCUUGCAAGUAUUACCAUGGAACUGCUGCCUGCAAUUUGAGAACUCUUAAAGAAUAGAUAAACCCUGGAAGAUUUAGACAAGUGAUAUUAAAAGCUGUCAUGAAGUGAGCAACUUUCUUCUGCCACACCCUCCCACCUUGAUGUUUCUGCCUCACACAGAUCUAAAGAGAUGGAACUAGCCAACCAUGGACUGACACCUAUGAAACCAUGAACCACAUAAGCUUUUCUUCCUUUAAGCAGAUUGUCAUGGUUAUUUUGUCUCAGUGACAAAAAGCUGGUCAACACACCUAAUUCCAUCAAAAGUUAUAGGUCAAAGAGGAAGGGCAUCACAUCGGCACUUUCUGAAAGCUGUCUCGAAACAGAGAUUGUGACGGAUUGUAUUCUUCCAGCCUUCUUGGAGCUGUCCCGAAGAAAGGGGAGUGCUGUGAAUCUGCUCGGGUCAUGAGCAGGUGCGACUUGGUGAAGGAGAGAAAGCACUUGUUCCCCAUGUCCCAGGCCAGGAGCCCGGGGACCUCGCCAUGGAGGCUGGCCCAGAAGUCAGAGUCACGGAGCUUUGUGGGCCACCGUGGGCGAAGGAGUGGAGCGCAGGUGGGGAGCUCGGCCCCACGCCCACGCCGCUUCUGGAAGUAGUCGGCGGUCCAGGUGCAGGGGGCCAAGCAAGCGGCGCAGAUGCCCGAGCUCGCCACUGCCCCGAGGGCUUCCUCUGUGCCCUGGUCCUCGGAACUCAAAGUUUGAGGAUCCAGGAGGACGACAAUAUGUAUCUCACACCUUUCUCCCUAUGGCGCACAAACCUCUCAGAAGGAUCCUGCAGCAGGGCUAAUAGCGGCUUCCUGAAAGUUCUAAUAGGUUUUAUGGUUUAUCUAAGAUCGCAUCUAUAGUAGGCUGUGGAGCUAGCCUAAGAGUCUAGUUUUUAAGUGUUCUGACCAUGAAUAAAUUAUAAAUAUGUGAGCUAAAACAUUUGUUAGAUUUAGCCAUUGCACAACACGUCUGGCCUGGAUUUUGCAGUGAUCCUUUAGCGUCAGCUUCCUAAGUGCUGAGAUAACAGGUGUGUGCCACCAUGCCUGGUUUUGUUUAUGUAUUUUUUACACUUGAUCUUAGCCAAAAGGCCUAGAAGCGAUUGUUGUUUAUGUAUUUUAAAACAUCGUGUUUUUACCAUAAAUACUUUGGGUUUCUCAUAUAAGAGAAACAUAUUUAAGCAUUUGUGUCUGAUUUAUUUUACUUAACAUUAUGGUCUGUAGGUAUAUCCAUUUUCCUACAAAUGACUCAAAUUUAUCCUUCUUUAUAGCAGAGUAGUACUCCUUAGUAUGUAAAUACCACAUUUUCUUUUAAAUGUUAAUGGACAUAUAAGAUGCUUCAAAUAUUCAGCUAUUAUGAAUUGUGUGUGUAUAUAUAUGUAAUUUUUUGCAAUUAAAAUAAACAAGUAAAGAAAUAAAGGACAUUGAGAAGUUGAAAGUAAAUGGAGCCAGGUGUGGUAGUGCAUAUCUAUAAUCCCAGCACUUGGGAGGCUGAGGCAGGAG
This is a long non-coding RNA of Heterocephalus glaber (naked mole-rat), 2770 nucleotides long. NCBI's taxonomy places the organism in Eukaryota, Metazoa, Chordata, Mammalia, Rodentia, Bathyergidae. The record is from Ensembl.